UUUCUGUUCACAAAUGGAAUUGUUUUAAAAACUAACCUUUAAUUUUUGUGAUUUCUAUAUGCCUUCACUGGGAUUUGAACCCGUCCAUGAAUUCUGAUACGUGUUACUAAUAUCAACAUAUCGACGAAACCUCUUGGCUAUCAAUCGGUUACGAUUUAAAAGUCUAUUUGAUAUAUAUAAAUGAAUCUGUACAACAGACACACAGGGCCUCUACUUUUAUAUAUACAUAAUAGGCAAUCGAAUAGUAUGAAUUGGUAGCCACGAGUGGUUAAGAUAAAUGAGUUCAAGGUACCGAC
Molecule: long non-coding RNA, 296 nt
Filed under: Mytilus galloprovincialis (Mediterranean mussel)
Lineage: Eukaryota; Metazoa; Mollusca; Bivalvia; Mytilida; Mytilidae
Source: RNAcentral